Molecule: transfer RNA, 77 nt
Filed under: Coriobacteriia bacterium
Lineage: Bacteria; Bacillati; Actinomycetota; Coriobacteriia
Description: tRNA-His
Rfam family: tRNA
About the family: Transfer RNA (tRNA) molecules are approximately 80 nucleotides in length. Their secondary structure includes four short double-helical elements and three loops (D, anti-codon, and T loops).
Source: RNAcentral
GUGGGUAUAGCUCAGUUGGUUAGAGCGCCGCACUGUGGCUGCGGAGGCCGAGGGUUCGAAUCCCUUUACCCACCCCA